This 200-nucleotide ribosomal RNA is filed under the name uncultured eukaryote. RNAcentral describes it as "partial 18S ribosomal RNA". It matches the Rfam family "Eukaryotic small subunit ribosomal RNA", at positions 589 to 811 of the family's 1831-position model. The record is from RNAcentral.
CUCCAAUAGCGAAUACUAAUUCUGCUGCAGUUAAAAAAGCUCGUAGUUGAACCUCUGGUAGGGCGGAUCCGGCCGUUGGGAUGAUUCCUUUGUUGCUGUGUGUCUUGUCUGGCCAUCUUUUCUUCUUGAAAAAGAAGGAUCUUUCACUGUAAAAAAAUUAGGGUGUUUCAAGCAAAAGUUAUUUGGAAUAUAUUAGUAUG